AGAAGGCUGGGGACAGUGUCCGCCUGAGAGUGCAAACUAAAGCAAACGUGUGUUCGUGGUGUGUGUGCGGUGUGUGUGUGUGUGGUUAGCGUCUGUACACGGUGUUUCUGUGUGUAUUCUGUUUGUGGCCGCGUGGAGGCCCGUGAAGACACUGCGUGUUUGCUGUGGGACCCUCUGCAUGCUCACAGCGGGACGGUGGAGGCUGAGGAAGAGGCGGUGCCGGAGUAAACAGGGUGGUACAAAGCCAGACUUGCAGGUUUGGGGCAGCACGGGAGUCAGCAACCCCGCCUGCGUGCAGACAAAGACGCUUGCGCCUGCGCUGUGCCCUCCCGGCCCCGCCCCGAGCCUUGAGCCCCUCCUCCCCUCGGUGGCCUUUUACUGCCUGCCCAGUUCCCUUGCUCUUGUGUCUGCCGUUAGGACUUUGCCUGUCUGCAACGUGUGUGGACAGAAACAUUCUGGGAAGAGAGCUCCAGUCCAAGCCCACCCCGGUGCCCGACAGUCAGUCACGGUUGCACACAUGACUCAGUGAGGACGUUUCCUCCGGCUCUGGAACUCCACUUCCCUCUCCCACUGCGGCCUUGUCUUUCCAUGCACUGAGCAGCUGAGAGCUCGGAUGACCACAGGUCUGUAUCAGUUCCAGUGGCAGCUGUCCCAGUGUGGUGGUAACAGUCCCUUUCCACCUCCGGAUACUGUGUCCAUCUGCAGCUCCUCCCCCGCCGCCGCCUCCCCUCCCUGACCCAGAGGAGCCGGCCUGUGCCUCCAUCUAGAGUUUCCUCCUCUGGCUUGUAUUGCUAUCACGUUCCUUAAAGUGUCUGCAAGAGGCGGACAGAAGACACUGCCUCGCUUGCCCAGGGAGGCUUUUUGCUUCCCCUCUGCCCUUUCCCACAGCUCCUCAGCCAGUCUGAUUUGAAGGGCCCAGAUGUGGCCCUGAUACUUCCAUGCUGGUCCAAAGUGAAGAAAGUGUCUAUUUAGCAAGUUCACAGAAUUGAGGCAGUUUCCGACACAAACGAAUAGACGUAGGUACAUACAGAUGCUCAAACCCUCGACAGUCCGUUGCUGAGGGCCUGUGCCUGUAGGUCUCGUGACAGCUGACUCAGGACAGGAACCGCUGCUUUUCCAGGAAAGGCAGAAAGGAAGGACACCUUCCACCUACACAGGUUCUAUCAACCAGGCUCAGAAAGCCUCUGAACAUGAAACAGAAGCCCCUGGCAUAAAGCUUGGGCUCCUAAGAACCACUACAAAACACACAGCCCUUCAACUGUCUGCCUGGGAUUUUUCUGGGCGCCCCCCCCCCAAGUUCGCCAUGAUGGGGAAGUCAGGAUAGCGAACCUGCAAUCCCAGCACUAGGAUGGCUCAGGCAGGAUCCUGUGUUUGAGGUUAGCUUGGGCUAUAGAGUGAGACCCUGUCUCAAAAACCAGACAACUGGGGGAAACUGUCAACUCUUCCUUAUGCCUGCAGUUUUAUCUCCAGCGAGAUCUACGUACAGGCUGCUGUUUUCAGAGCUCGGAGCAGGGUUCCUCCCGGAAAGCACUGUGGGUCUGCAGGAGACACAGGAGCCCUUCCAGUCGCUCACCCUGCUGCAGGCCACAAGCGGGAGGGCUGCUUCCCUCCGGUUUUUUUUUUUAAACCUCAAAUACUGUCUUUCAUCUGAAACCCAACAUGGCCUUGUACUAAUAAACAUGACAGGAGUGGCCG
Non-coding RNA from Peromyscus maniculatus bairdii (prairie deer mouse), 1695 nucleotides. NCBI's taxonomy places the organism in Eukaryota, Metazoa, Chordata, Mammalia, Rodentia, Cricetidae. The record is from RefSeq and is a predicted model, not a curated record.